RNAcentral lists this transfer RNA (77 nucleotides) under Hadesarchaea archaeon CG08_land_8_20_14_0_20_51_8. RNAcentral's name for it is "tRNA-Trp". It matches the Rfam family "tRNA". From Rfam's summary of the family: Transfer RNA (tRNA) molecules are approximately 80 nucleotides in length. Their secondary structure includes four short double-helical elements and three loops (D, anti-codon, and T loops). The record is from RNAcentral. Lineage: Archaea; Methanobacteriati; Hadarchaeota (SeqCode); Hadarchaeia (SeqCode). RNAcentral also lists the same sequence under 1 other name.
GGGGUCGUAGUGUAACUUGGCUAGCACGGCAGGCUCCAGACCUGCAAAUCCGAGUUCAAAUCUCGGCGACCCCACCA